UCAAUGACGAUGAAAGGGAAAGUACAAUUUUCUAUGGCUUUUUAAAAGCGAGUCGGGGGUGGUGGAAGCCCGGUAAAGUUGGAAAUUGGAAAAUCACCCUCGAGUUCCAGGUCGAACCUCCUUCUUUAAGGAAAGUAGGCUUAGGCGUUUUAUUCACGUUACGAAUGUUUAAGAGGAUAGAACGAUUAUUUCGUACUAUUUAUCAGGGUGGUACCGCGGGAAAAAAACCUUCUCGUCCCUAUU
This 243-nucleotide non-coding RNA is filed under the name Bacillus sp. (in: firmicutes). RNAcentral describes it as "Bacillus sp. T-box sequence". It matches the Rfam family "T-box leader". From Rfam's summary of the family: Uncharged tRNA acts as the effector for transcription antitermination of genes in the T-box leader family. Lineage: Bacteria; Bacillati; Bacillota; Bacilli; Caryophanales; Bacillaceae. The record is from RNAcentral.